GGGGGGUAAUGAAGUAAUUUAGGGAAUGAGUACGGAGAAAGAAAGAAAAUGGAAAGGAAUGGUAAGUGUGUGUAGGGUUUUUUUUUUGUGUGAAGAGAAGUAGAAAGACAAAAGGUGUGGUGCGACGUACUGCCAGGUGUUGAAAGGUAAGGUAACAAAAUGGUGUGUGGUGCAACGUGGUGGAGCGCUUUGGACUUCGGCUCUGUUUCCUCGGUCAGUUGCAUUUGCUUUGGGAAGGAAAGGAAGUUUGUUUUUCAAAUUUAUAUUUUAUCAGCACGACAGUGGUUUGGUUUCGAGGGUGACGUGUCGGCCGG
RNAcentral lists this long non-coding RNA (314 nucleotides) under Gossypium raimondii (Peruvian cotton). RNAcentral describes it as "long non-coding RNA (GRAI_LNC004198)". Lineage: Eukaryota; Viridiplantae; Streptophyta; Magnoliopsida; Malvales; Malvaceae. The record is from RNAcentral.